AUGCCCAUAUUUAAGUAGUAAAUAUUCCACAGUUAUUAUAAAGUUGGCCCUCGUGCUUUAUUCUUAUGAGCGAGAGAAUAAAAUAUGCAGAGCAAGGAACUAGAUAGACGGUAUAGUAAUUUGGAAGAAGCAUCUGAAAGACUCGCUAAAUGGCUUCGAAGACUAGAAGCGGCGACUUGCGAGUGUAGCAUGUUGCUGAGCUCCAUUAUCAUGUAUGUUAUGGCCUCCUUGACCCUCUCUUGAGAUGUCUUGUUGAGUUGAAUUGCCCACCGGCUUGAAAUUGGCUUUAGGCUUGGGCAACUUCUUUGAAAGACCCAGUCUAUAAAUUAUUCGAAUAGUUCGUGAUCCCUGUCCUUCCAUUGCCUUGUAAUGAUGCAUGUCUCCUCUUCUAAGAUCUUUUGAAUUAUUUGUGUA
RNAcentral lists this long non-coding RNA (414 nucleotides) under Eucalyptus grandis. RNAcentral's name for it is "long non-coding RNA (EGRA_LNC007724)". Lineage: Eukaryota; Viridiplantae; Streptophyta; Magnoliopsida; Myrtales; Myrtaceae. The record is from RNAcentral.